AUUGAACGCUGGCGGCAUGCCUUACACAUGCCAGUCGAACGGCAGCAUGAUCUAGCUUGCUCGAUUGAUGGCGAGUGGCGAACGGGUGAGUAAUACAUCGGAACGUGCCCUGUAGUGGGGGAUAACUAGUCGAAAGAUUAGCUAAUACCGCAUACGACCUGAGGGUGAAAGUGGGGGACCGCAAGGCCUCAUGCUAUAGGAGCGGCCGAUGUCUGAUUAGCUAGUUGGUGAGGUAAAGGCUCACCAAGGCGACGAUCAGUAGCUGGUCUGAGAGGACGAUCAGCCACACUGGGACUGAGACACGGCCCAGACUCCUACGGGAGGCAGCAGUGGGGAAUUUUGGACAAUGGGCGAAAGCCUGAUCCAGCAAUGCCGCGUGUGUGAAGAAGGCCUUCGGGUUGUAAAGCACUUUUGUCCGGAAAGAAAUGGCUCUGGUUAAUACCUGGGGUCGAUGACGGUACCGGAAGAAUAAGGACCGGCUAACUGCGUG
This 490-nucleotide ribosomal RNA is filed under the name uncultured bacterium. Its description in RNAcentral is "partial 16S ribosomal RNA". It matches the Rfam family "Bacterial small subunit ribosomal RNA", at positions 30 to 507 of the family's 1533-position model. The record is from RNAcentral.